UUCCCAGGUUGGACUCGAUGAUCUUACAGGUCUUUUCCAACCGUACUGAUUCUGUGAUUCUGUGACAGCGGGGCCGGGGAGCCGGGACAGCGGGGGGAGGCGGAUUUUCGGGUCGGACCCUGCGGCGGGCUGCGAUAAACGUUCAAACCCAGGCGCGGUAACGCUCCUGCACUGGGGCAGCUUCCAAGUUUCUACACGAAGAGGCGGCACAUGAGACAGUAUUGGUAACGGUCACAACUCAGGACUUCAGGAAAAGCACAGAUUUAGUCGGGAACCUAUAAUCCAAGGCAGCAAACCCCAUACUUGAGUCAAAACAUUUUAUCUAAGUUUCAAACCAGAACAAUUCUUAAAUUACUGGCUACAAGAUCAAAAAUCAUCUGAACACCAUCUUUUUAUCAGCCAGUUUAAAAGAGUGUUUAUCAUCAUGUGAAACGACAUUGCGAACACCCAGAAGACAGGGAAAUGAAACAGCUUUACAGAAAACAAAGAACUGUUGACAGUCGGCACUGGCAGGUUCUUCAGCGUCCGUAACAAAGACAAAACGUGGAGGUGGUGUUUUAGAAUAAGAACUGUCGGUUGCUGUGAUGGAUAGCGCCCUGGCAGCACCCAAGUUCAUGGACGCAGGACUGGCACGUUGGAUCCUCAGCCGUUUCCUCGCGAGGCGGCGGGAGGCUGGGCGCAGCAGCAGCGGGUGCGCAAUCCAUUUUCACAGUGUGUCAGACCUUAAACUUUGCCUUACGCCCCUCUUUCUGGGGACUGGAAUUACAGAAUUGCAUUUUGGAGCUGUGGUAUUUGCCUCUUAAGGAUUUUGGGAAACAAGUUACACUCACAAGUGCAGGUGAUGACAACUUUCCUGCAUGGUACAUCCCUGUAACGAUGCAGCUGUGCCACACCGAAGGGGAGAGCUGAUCUCUACCUCUCCUCCCCGCACCCUGCAGCACCCGCCCUUCGCUCCACCCUCUCCCCUGGGACCUGUCGCGUUUCACAAUGAUUUUGCUCAGGAAUUUAAACCAGGACAAACCCUACAGAUUCCCAAGGAAGAGACUGGGUUGCUUCUUUCUUCUUGUCUUUUUAAAAAGUUUUUUUUUUUAUGUUAAAGAUGUUUAAGUCUACAAUAAUUCUAAUAU
Molecule: long non-coding RNA, 1127 nt
Organism: Gavia stellata (red-throated loon)
Lineage: Eukaryota; Metazoa; Chordata; Aves; Gaviiformes; Gaviidae
Exons: 3
Source: RefSeq, a predicted model, not a curated record